Molecule: non-coding RNA, 149 nt
Organism: Podarcis lilfordi (Lilford's wall lizard)
Lineage: Eukaryota; Metazoa; Chordata; Lepidosauria; Squamata; Lacertidae
Source: the annotation of a GenBank genome assembly
CUUCAGUGAUGAUACGAUGACGAGUCAGAAACGGCUGCCAUCUGCUUGGAGUAAACCGCUCAGUGCUACGUUCUGUGGCGCUGUGCUUGGGUACUCCCAACAGAGGCGUCCUGUUCAUUGAAUGAUCUUGAGGCAUUUGUCUGAGAAGG